AGAGGCUCUCCGUGGCCCGGGUGGAACGCUUGCCUCGUUGCUGCGGCGAUGAAGCGAGCAUUCCACCAGGCCACUCAUUCUGCUCGC
Myotis lucifugus (little brown bat) is the source of this 87-nucleotide non-coding RNA. The record is from Rfam. Lineage: Eukaryota; Metazoa; Chordata; Mammalia; Chiroptera; Vespertilionidae.